AAAAAUUCUCCGACACCGACUUACGACAUGAUUCGAGUCACACUCCUUGCCGCUGCUGUUGCUCUUGUCGCGGGCGUGCCCCACGUGCCCCGUCUCGAUGGAGGUCUCCCCCGCCUGCCCAAGAUCGUAGGGGGAGUGGAGGCUUCCCCUGGGGAGUUUCCUCACCAGAUCUCCAUGCAGAGGAACGGCAUCUUCGGAAAAUCUCACUCCUGUGGGGGUUCCAUCUUCAAUGAGAACUACAUCGUCACGGCCGGUCACUGCGUCCAUGGCACGAGCGCCUCCAAGAUCUUCGUCGUGGCCGGGGAACACGACCUCUCCACCACCUCAGGAGACGAGCAGGAGAGCCCGGCCGAAGCCCUGAUCGAGCACGAGCACUACGACUCGAGCACCAUCACCAACGACAUCGCCCUCAUCAAGCUGGCCACGCCCUUGGUCAUGAACGGCCUGGUGCAGCCCAUAGAACUCCCGGCCCAGGGGGAGUUCGCGGCGGCCGGGAGUCGUGUACGACCACGGGCUGGGGGACCACGGUGGAGGGGGGGUUCAUCCCCGAUAUUCUGAGGAAGGUGGACGUCCCUAUUGUGGAUGACGACACCUGCAGGCAAUCCUACGGCGUCACGGAGAUCGCCGACUCCAUGCUGUGCGCAGGACUCCCAGAAGGAGGUAAGGACGCCUGCCAGGGUGACUCCGGAGGCCCCUUCGUCUGCGGGGGAAAGCUCCAUGGCAUCACGUCCUGGGGCUAUGGCUGCGCUCGCCCCAACUACCCCGGGGUGUAUACCGAAGUGGCGUACUUCAGGGACUGGGUUGAUUCCCACGCUGUUUAAGGCGCGGGAGAAGUUGGCGCAGAGAGAGAAGUUCUAGAGGAAAUUCGCUGGCCUUUCAGAAGAAUUUUUGAAAAGAGAAAGGUGUCUUCAGAGGAAAGUUCAGAUUUUUUUGUGAUUUUUUUUUCUGGAGAAUUUGGAUAGAUAAAUUCAACUGAAGUAUAUCUGUAUUUUAAUAAAAAAGGAAGUUUAAUCUGUCAUUUGAUUCUAUUCAUUACAAUGGGUAAUACUAUUUUUCCUUUUUCCCAUGAAAUUUAAGCAAUAAAAUCUGCUAACCC
Molecule: non-coding RNA, 1096 nt
Organism: Penaeus vannamei (Pacific white shrimp)
Lineage: Eukaryota; Metazoa; Arthropoda; Malacostraca; Decapoda; Penaeidae
Source: RefSeq, a predicted model, not a curated record